RNAcentral lists this ribosomal RNA (435 nucleotides) under uncultured bacterium. RNAcentral describes it as "partial 16S ribosomal RNA". It matches the Rfam family "Bacterial small subunit ribosomal RNA", at positions 29 to 507 of the family's 1533-position model. The record is from RNAcentral.
AGCGAACGCUGGCGGCAGGCUUAACACAUGCAAGUCGAGCGGGCACUUUCGGGUGUCAGCGGCGGACGGGUGAGUAACGCGUGGGAACGUGCCCUCUGGUUCGGAAUAACUCAGGGAAACUUGAGCUAAUACCGGAUACGCCCUUUUGGGGAAAGGCUUGCUGCCGGAGGAUCGGCCCGCGUCUGAUUAGCUAGUUGGUGAGGUAACGGCUCACCAAGGCGCCGAUCAGUAGCUGGUCUGAGAGGAUGAUCAGCCACACUGGGACUGAGACACGGCCCAGACUCCUACGGGAGGGAGCAGUGGGGAAUAUUGGACAAUGGGCGCAAGCCUGAUCCAGCCACGACGCGUGAGUGAUGAAGGCCUUAGGGUUGAAAAGCUCUUUUAUCCGGGACGAUAAUGACGGUACCGGAGGAAUAAGCCCCGGCUAACUUCGUG